GAAAAAUCUGGAUGUGUUCUAAAGCCUUCUGAAGACAUCAAAAGCCAAACAUCGAACAUUUCAAAUGGGCUUAAAGCAUUGUUUUAGAGGUGUGAAUAAUGAAGCCAAGGACAUUAGCAACAUCAUGAAAGCAGAUUCCACGUGCUGCACACUUCAUAUGCACAUCGUUAUUUCCUGCUGUCACCUCUGUGGCUCUUUAUUCAUAUGAUGAAGCCCUGCC
RNAcentral lists this long non-coding RNA (220 nucleotides) under Gorilla gorilla gorilla (western lowland gorilla). RNAcentral describes it as "lncRNA (ENSGGOG00000044466.1)". Lineage: Eukaryota; Metazoa; Chordata; Mammalia; Primates; Hominidae. The record is from RNAcentral.